RNAcentral lists this ribosomal RNA (301 nucleotides) under uncultured bacterium. RNAcentral describes it as "partial 16S ribosomal RNA". It matches the Rfam family "Bacterial small subunit ribosomal RNA", at positions 509 to 807 of the family's 1533-position model. The record is from RNAcentral.
CAGUAGCCGCGGGAAUACGUAGGGCGCAAGCGUUGUCCGGAAUUAUUGGGCGUAAAGAGCUCGUAGGCGGUCUGUCGCGUCUGGUGUGAAAUCCCGAGGCUCAACCUCGGGCUUGCAUCGGGUACGGGCAGACUAGAGUGCGGUAGGGGAGACUGGAAUUCCUGGUGUAGCGGUGGAAUGCGCAGAUAUCAGGAGGAACACCGAUGGCGAAGGCAGGUCUCUGGGCCGCAACUGACGCUGAGGAGCGAAAGCAUGGGGAGCGAACAGGAUUAGAGACCCGCGUAGUCCCUGUCUCUUAUAC